This 538-nucleotide ribosomal RNA is filed under the name Falsomelyris granulata. RNAcentral's name for it is "partial 16S ribosomal RNA". It matches the Rfam family "Bacterial large subunit ribosomal RNA", at positions 1796 to 2611 of the family's 2925-position model. Lineage: Eukaryota; Metazoa; Arthropoda; Insecta; Coleoptera; Melyridae. The record is from RNAcentral.
CCUUGUUUAACAAAAACAUGUCUUUUUGAUAAUAAUUUAAAGUCUAAUCUGCCCACUGAUUAAUUAAAUGGCCGCAGUAUUUUGACUGUGCUAAGGUAGCAUAAUAAAUAGUUUUUUAAUUGAAAGCUGGUAUGAAUGAUUGAAUGAGAUAAAGACUGUCUCUAAGUUAAUUUUAUAGAAUUUUAUUUUUAAGUUAAAAAGCUUAAAUUUUUUUAAAAGACGAGAAGACCCUAUAGAGUUUUAUUAAUAUUUUGUAAAUUAAUUUUGUUUUAAUAAUAAUUGACAUAAAAAUUAAUUUUGUUGGGGUGACCGAAAAAUUUAAUUAACUUUUUUUUAUAAUUACACUGAUUAGUGAUUUGAUGAUCCAAUAUUAUUGAUUAUAAGAUUAAAUUACCUUAGGGAUAACAGCGUAAUUUUUUUUGAGAGUUCUAAUCGAAAAAAAAGGUUGCGACCUCGAUGUUGGAUUAAAGUUUAAUUUUGGUGUAGAAGCUAAAAAUUUAAGUCUGUUCGACUUUUAAAACUUUACAUGAUCUGAGUU